AAUACCUUCACUAGCCACUAUGUGAUCACGCAGCAGGCUAGACAAGAUGCAGCUGUUGGCAGAGGGGUGUUGCAAUCUAUUUGUUCCUAGGUUCCAACCCCUCCCAUGUGAGGAAUAGACAUGAGCAGGCACUCGAAGAAGACAAAACGGUUACUUACCUCAUAACUGUUGUUCUUCGAGAUGUGUUGCUCAUGUCCUUUCCAAAUCCUACCCACCUCCAGCAAGAAGGAACUGAGGGAGUGGAGGGCCAGCAGGGGGCUGAUAUGCGCUGAUAUGCCGACGCCACUCCAGGGGGCUCCCCAGCUGGCCCGAUGGGUACUGCUAAGAGGAAAAAGCUUCUGGAACUCAUAUAUGUGGCGCACGCACACCUAUGUGGAAUGAACAUAAGCAACACAUCUUGAAGAACGAGAUGUGGUAAGUAACCAGUUUUUCCUUUUCUUUAAUUACAGGAACAAGUAAACCAUCCCUGCUUCUCUCUGCUCUUCUUGUGUGAUGAUGGGAAUCCCCGGCAGCCUGGCAGCACUAACCCUCUCACCUGGCAGAUGGCAGAACUAGACGUUGGGAAUCAGAAGCAGUUCCUGCAGGAUGAAGAACUGGCUUGAAGACUGCAGGAGGAGGAGGAAACUCAUGCAGUAGAUGAACCUUGGGCAGAAAGGGGGCACAUUACAACGUCAGCAGAGGUGUUUUUCAAAUUGGAAGACAGCAAGGAGAAACCAGGAAUGCAGUGACACUGUUGGGCAGCCCAGGAUGAG
This is a non-coding RNA of Pelodiscus sinensis (Chinese soft-shelled turtle), 752 nucleotides long. The record is from RefSeq and is a predicted model, not a curated record. NCBI's taxonomy places the organism in Eukaryota, Metazoa, Chordata, Testudines, Trionychidae.